Molecule: ribosomal RNA, 439 nt
Filed under: uncultured bacterium
Lineage: Bacteria
Description: bacterial SSU rRNA
Rfam family: Bacterial small subunit ribosomal RNA
Source: RNAcentral
CCUACGGGUCGCACCAGUGGGGAAUAUUGGACAAUGGGCGAAAGCCUGAUCCAGCAAUGCCGCGUGUGUGAAGAAGGUCUUCGGAUUGUAAAGCACUUUCGACGGGGACGAUGAUGACGGUACCCGUAGAAGAAGCCCCGGCUAACUUCGUGCCGGCAGCCGCGGUAAUACGAAGGGGGCUAGCGUUGCUCGGAAUGACUGGGCGUAAAGGGCGCGUAGGCGGUUUUGCAGUCAGAUGUGAAAUCCCCGGGCUUAACCUGGGAACUGCAUUUGAGACGCAUGGACUAGAGGUCGAGAGAGGGUUGUGGAAUUCCCAGUGUAGAGGUGAAAUUCGUAGAUAUUGGGAAGAACACCGGUGGCGAAGGCGGCAACCUGGCUCGAUACUGACGCUGAGGCGCGAAAGCGUGGGGAGCAAACAGGAUUAGAUACCCUCGUAGUC